GGAGGGUGCAAGCGUUACUCGGAAUCACUGGGCGUAAAGGACGCGUAGGCGGAUUAUCAAGUCUCUUGUGAAAUCUAACGGCUUAACCGUUAAACUGCUUGGGAAACUGAUAAUCUAGAGUAAGGGAGAGGCAGAUGGAAUUCUUGGUGUAGGGGUAAAAUCCGUAGAUAUCAAGAAGAAUACCUAUUGCGAAGGCGAUCUGCUGGAACUUAACUGACGCUAAUGCGUGAAAGCGUGGGGAGCAAACAGGAUUAGAUACCCUGGUAGUCCACGCCCUAAACGAUGUAUACCGGUUGUUGCUGUGCUAGUCACGGCAGUAAUCCACCUAACGGAUUAAGUAUACCGCCUGGGGAGUACGGUCGCAAGAUUA
Molecule: ribosomal RNA, 370 nt
Filed under: uncultured Campylobacter sp.
Lineage: Bacteria; Pseudomonadati; Campylobacterota; Epsilonproteobacteria; Campylobacterales; Campylobacteraceae
Description: bacterial SSU rRNA
Rfam family: Bacterial small subunit ribosomal RNA
Source: RNAcentral